This 508-nucleotide ribosomal RNA is filed under the name uncultured bacterium. RNAcentral describes it as "partial 16S ribosomal RNA". It matches the Rfam family "Bacterial small subunit ribosomal RNA", at positions 28 to 507 of the family's 1533-position model. The record is from RNAcentral.
GACGAACGCUGGCGGCGUGCCUAAUACAUGCAAGUCGAACGCUUCUUUCCUCCCGAGUGCUUGCACUCAAUUGGAAAGAGGAGUGGCGGACGGGUGAGUAACACGUGGGUAACCUACCCAUCAGAGGGGGAUAACACUUGGAAACAGGUGCUAAUACCGCAUAACAGUUUAUGCCGCAUGGCAUAAGAGUGAAAGGCGCUUUCGGGUGUCGCUGAUGGAUGGACCCGCGGUGCAUUAGCUAGUUGGUGAGGUAACGGCUCACCAAGGCCACGAUGCAUAGCCGACCUGAGAGGGUGAUCGGCCACACUGGGACUGAGACACGGCCCAGACUCCUACGGGAGGCAGCAGUAGGGAAUCUUCGGCAAUGGACGAAAGUCUGACCGAGCAACGCCGCGUGAGUGAAGAAGGUUUUCGGAUCGUAAAACUCUGUUGUUAGAGAAAAACAAGGACGUUAGUAACUGAACGUCCCCUGACGGUAUCUAACCAGAAAGCCACGGCUAACUACGUG